UAGGGAAUCUUCCGCAAUGGACGAAAGUCUGACGGAGCAACGCCGCGUGAGUGAAGAAGGAUUUCGGUUCGUAAAACUCUGUUGUUAGGGAAGAAAAAAUGUAUAGUAACUAUAUACAAAAGAGACGGUACCUAACCAGAAAGCCACGGUUAACUACGUGCCAGCAGCCGCGGUAAUACGUAGGUGGCAAGCGUUGUCCGGAAUUAUUGGGCGUAAAGCGCGCGCAGGUGGUUUAGAAAGUCUGAUGUGAAAGCCCACGGCUCAACCGUGGAGGGUCAUUGGAAACUAAUAAACUUGAGUGCAGGAGAGAAAAGUGGAAUUCCUAGUGUAGCGGUGAAAUGCGUAGAGAUUAGGAGGAACGCCGGUGGCGAAAGCGGCUUUAUGGCCUGCAACUGACACUGAGGCGCGAAAGCGUGAGGAGCAAACAGG
This 429-nucleotide ribosomal RNA is filed under the name Verrucomicrobiota bacterium. RNAcentral's name for it is "Verrucomicrobia bacterium partial 16S ribosomal RNA". It matches the Rfam family "Bacterial small subunit ribosomal RNA", at positions 355 to 776 of the family's 1533-position model. Lineage: Bacteria; Pseudomonadati; Verrucomicrobiota. The record is from RNAcentral.